CCUACGGGAGGCAGCAGUAAGGAAUAUUGGUCAAUGGGCGGAAGCCUGAACCAGCCAUGCCGCGUGCAGGAAGACGGCCCUACGGGUUGUAAACUGCUUUUGCAGGGGAAUAAACCCUCCUAUGUAUAGGAGGCUGAAUGUACCUUGAGAAUAAGGAUCGGCUAACUCCGUGCCAGCAGCCGCGGUAAU
RNAcentral lists this ribosomal RNA (189 nucleotides) under uncultured bacterium. RNAcentral describes it as "partial 16S ribosomal RNA". It matches the Rfam family "Bacterial small subunit ribosomal RNA", at positions 338 to 524 of the family's 1533-position model. The record is from RNAcentral.